Molecule: small RNA, 122 nt
Filed under: Ewingella americana
Lineage: Bacteria; Pseudomonadati; Pseudomonadota; Gammaproteobacteria; Enterobacterales; Yersiniaceae
Description: RtT sRNA
Rfam family: RtT RNA
About the family: This family represents a bacterial cis-regulatory element known as RtT RNA.
Source: RNAcentral
AUAAUAGUAAAACAGUGCAGGAUGAGAACCACUGGUUCGAGCCGAGCGAAGCGAGACGACAACGCGAACACGUUGCCCGCAGGGUGAGGUCGAAGACCGAAUCAAUCCAGCACGGCCCACCA